RNAcentral lists this small RNA (477 nucleotides) under Winslowiella iniecta. RNAcentral describes it as "Erwinia iniecta cspA thermoregulator". It matches the Rfam family "cspA thermoregulator". Lineage: Bacteria; Pseudomonadati; Pseudomonadota; Gammaproteobacteria; Enterobacterales; Erwiniaceae. The record is from Rfam by way of RNAcentral.
AACGAGGUACAGUUCUGCUUAUGUGUGGCAUUUUCAGUAAAGAAGUUCUGAGUAAAGACGUUGACGUUGAAUACCGCUUCCUUGCCGAACCUUAAAUUAGUGCCUCAUUCAGUAAUGUCUCUGGUUUCUCAGUAAGUAAGCCUCCGGGCGAAUAAAACAAUCUAAGGAAUUUGCAAAAUGGCAAAGAUUAAAGGUCAGGUUAAGUGGUUCAACGAGUCUAAAGGUUUUGGUUUCAUUACUCCUGCUGACGGCAGCAAAGAUGUGUUCGUACACUUCUCUGCAAUCCAGGGUAACGGCUUCAAAACUCUGGCUGAAGGCCAGAACGUUGAGUUCGAAAUUCAGGAUGGCCAGAAAGGUCCAGCUGCAGUUAACGUAACUGCAAUCUGAUUUUGAUCUCAGCCUCAGCGUUGUGGCUGAAUCCAUAACGCCGCUGAAUCUGAAUUGUGAAAGCCCCGUCAUUCGUGACGGGGCUUUUUU